Periophthalmus magnuspinnatus is the source of this 309-nucleotide long non-coding RNA. RefSeq lists it as uncharacterized. NCBI's taxonomy places the organism in Eukaryota, Metazoa, Chordata, Actinopteri, Gobiiformes, Gobiidae. The transcript has 3 exons. The record is from RefSeq and is a predicted model, not a curated record.
GAAGAGUCUCAUUUCACUUGUGACAGAUUCAAACUCCAGACGACGUUUGUCCUUGAGAGGGCGCUGUAAAAAAUAUAAAUGGGUGGAUCUGAGAGCAAACCCAGUGCAGCUGAGACCAGGAAAAGGAGAUGGAGCCUGGACUUUCCUCCUUUUUAUGGACUGGAAAAGUCAAAUUAUUUUAAGUUUUAUCAGUCGAUCAUUGAUUUCCUAAGACUCUAUGAAGAAAAAAAGACCAGCUUCGUUUUAUCAAGGAGCUACAGGAAAUACCACAACAAAGUGAGAAACUUGAGAAGAAGAAAAGAACUGGGC